RNAcentral lists this ribosomal RNA (497 nucleotides) under uncultured bacterium. RNAcentral describes it as "partial 16S ribosomal RNA". It matches the Rfam family "Bacterial small subunit ribosomal RNA", at positions 28 to 507 of the family's 1533-position model. The record is from RNAcentral.
GAUGAACGCUGGCGGCGUGCCUAAUACAUGCAAGUCGAGCGAACAGACGAGGAGCUUGCUCCUCUGACGUUAGCGGCGGACGGGUGAGUAACACGUGGAUAACCUACCUAUAAGACUGGGAUAACUUCGGGAAACCGGAGCUAAUACCGGAUAAUAUAUUGAACCGCAUGGUUCAAUAGUGAAAGACGGUUUUGCUGUCACUUAUAGAUGGAUCCGCGCCGCAUUAGCUAGUUGGUAAGGUAACGGCUUACCAAGGCAACGAUGCGUAGCCGACCUGAGAGGGGGGACGGGCCACCCGGAAACUGAGACACGGCCCAGACCCCAAGGGAGGCAGCAGUAGGGAAUCUUCCGCAAUGGGCGAAAGCCUGACGGAGCAACGCCGCGUGAGUGAUGAAGGUCUUCGGAUCGUAAAACUCUGUUAUUAGGGAAGAACAAAUGUGUAAGUAACUAUGCACGUCUUGACGGUACCUAAUCAGAAAGCCACGGCUAACUACGUG